RNAcentral lists this ribosomal RNA (508 nucleotides) under uncultured bacterium. Its description in RNAcentral is "bacterial SSU rRNA". It matches the Rfam family "Bacterial small subunit ribosomal RNA", at positions 355 to 881 of the family's 1533-position model. The record is from RNAcentral.
UGGGGAAUCUUGGACAAUGGGGGCAACCCUGAUCCAGCCAUGCCGCGUGAGUGAUGAAGGCCUUAGGGUCGUAAAGCUCUUUCGCCUGUGAAGAUAAUGACGGUAGCCGGAGAAGAAGCCCCGGCUAACUCCGUGCCAGCAGCCGCGGUAAUACGGAGGGGGCUAGCGUUAUUCGGAAUUACUGGGCGUAAAGGGCGUGUAGGCGGCUUGAUAGGUCAAAGGUGAAAUCCCUCGGCUCAACCGAGGAACUGCCUUUGAAACCAUCUGGCUCGAGGCUGGGAGGGGGUAGCGGAAUUCCUGGUGUAGCGGUGAAAUGCGUAGAUAUCAGGAGGAACACCAGUGGCGAAGGCGGCUACCUGGACCAGUUCUGACGCUGAGGCGCGAAAGCGUGGGGAGCAAACAGGAUUAGAUACCCUGGUAGUCCACGCCGUAAACGAUGAGUGCUAGUCGUCGGCAGGCAUGCCUGUCGGUGACGCAGCUAACGCAUUAAGCACUCCGCCUGGGGAGU